UGGGGAAUUUUCCGCAAUGGGGGGCACCCUGACGGAGCAACGCCGCGUGCGGGAGUACGGCCUGUGGGUUGUAAACCGCUUUUCUCUAGGAAGAAGAUCUGACGGUACUAGAGGAAUCAGCAUCGGCUAACUCCGUGCCAGCAGCCGCGGUAAUACGGAGGGGGCAAGCGUUGUGCGGAUUUACUGGGCGUAAAGGGCGCGUAGGCGGGGCAUCAAGUUAGGGGUGAAAGCCCGGGGCUCAACCUCGGAACUGCCUUUAAAACUGAUUCUCUAGAGUCCGGAAGAGGGUCGCGGAAUUCCCAGUGUAGAGGUGAAAUUCGUAGAUAUUGGGAAGAACACCGGUGGCGAAGGCGGCGACCUGGUCCGGUACUGACGCUGAGGCGCGAAAGCGUGGGGAGCAAACAGGAUUAGAUACCCGCGUAGUCC
This 426-nucleotide ribosomal RNA is filed under the name uncultured prokaryote. RNAcentral describes it as "bacterial SSU rRNA". It matches the Rfam family "Bacterial small subunit ribosomal RNA", at positions 355 to 796 of the family's 1533-position model. The record is from RNAcentral.